CAGGAGCUGUGGUAGGCAUUGCUGGGAGGGCUACUGAAGUAUAUAAGGGAAACACACAAAGGGAUGGAGCAGUAAACAGAGAAUCAACGGGAUCUGGGGGAGGAUUCAGGGGGGUGCGGUUCUCAGGUGACUAUUUAGCCAAUGAUUGGACAGG
Long non-coding RNA from Piliocolobus tephrosceles (Ugandan red Colobus), 154 nucleotides. RefSeq lists it as uncharacterized. The record is from RefSeq and is a predicted model, not a curated record. Lineage: Eukaryota; Metazoa; Chordata; Mammalia; Primates; Cercopithecidae. The transcript has 3 exons.